Molecule: small nuclear RNA, 103 nt
Organism: Mesocricetus auratus (golden hamster)
Lineage: Eukaryota; Metazoa; Chordata; Mammalia; Rodentia; Cricetidae
Source: Ensembl
GUGCUAGCUUUGGCAGUACAUACACUAAAACUGGAACAAGACAGAGAUUAGCAUGGCCAUGCACAAGGAUGACACAAAAAUUCGUGAGAGUUUUGCUGGUUUA